Molecule: unclassified non-coding RNA, 313 nt
Filed under: Ulvella leptochaete
Lineage: Eukaryota; Viridiplantae; Chlorophyta; Ulvophyceae; Ulvales; Ulvellaceae
Description: sequence contains 18S rRNA gene, ITS1, 5.8S rRNA gene, ITS2 and 28S rRNA gene
Rfam family: 5.8S ribosomal RNA (bases 209-313)
Source: RNAcentral
UUUCCGUAGGUGAACCUGCGGAAGGAUCAUUGAAACCGAUCAAACCACCCACAGCGAACUGGCGCGCCCCGCCCCUUCGGGGGUCCCGGGUGCGCCCUGGCAGGUAUACUCCCGGCGCCCACUGCCGCGCCGGUUUUUUUUCCCCACUCCAAAGGUUCUGACCUGAAUUUAUUCGUGCGGGCACCGCCUCACGUCUUACAACAGAGAUAACUCUCAACAACGGAUAUCUUGGCUCUCGCAACGAUGAAGAACGCAGCGAAAUGCGAUACGUAGUGUGAAUUGCAGAAUUCCGUGAAUCAUCAAAACUUUGAAA